Molecule: ribosomal RNA, 81 nt
Filed under: Actinoplanes sp. TBRC 11911
Lineage: Bacteria; Bacillati; Actinomycetota; Actinomycetes; Micromonosporales; Micromonosporaceae
Description: partial 16S ribosomal RNA
Rfam family: Bacterial small subunit ribosomal RNA
Source: RNAcentral
UUUGUUGGAGAGUUUGAUCCUGGCUCAGGACGAACGCUGGCGGCGUGCUUAACACAUGCAAGUCGAGCGGAAAGGCCCUUC